UACGGAGGGUGCAAGCGUUGUUCGGAAUUAUUGGGCGUAAAGCGCACGUAGGCGGACCGUUAAGUCAGAUGUGAAAUCCCUCGGCUCAACCGAGGACGUGCAUUUGAUACUGGCGGUCUUGAGUCCCGGAGAGGGUGGCGGAAUUCCCAGUGUAGAGGUGAAAUUCGUAGAUAUUGGGAGGAACACCGGCGGCGAAGGCGGCCACCUGGACGGUGACUGACGCUGAGGUGCGAAAGCGUGGGUAGCAAACAGG
RNAcentral lists this unclassified non-coding RNA (253 nucleotides) under uncultured delta proteobacterium. Its description in RNAcentral is "contains 16S-23S intergenic spacer region". It matches the Rfam family "Bacterial small subunit ribosomal RNA", at positions 524 to 776 of the family's 1533-position model. The record is from RNAcentral. Lineage: Bacteria; Deltaproteobacteria.